GACGAACGCUGGCGGCGUGCUUAACACAUGCAAGUCGAACGGAAAGGCCCUGCUUUUGUGGGGUGCUCGAGUGGCGAACGGGUGAGUAACACGUGAGUAACCUGCCCUUGACUUUGGGAUAACUUCAGGAAACUGGGGCUAAUACCGGAUAGGAGCUCCUGCUGCAUGGUGGGGGUUGGAAAGUUUCGGCGGUUGGGGAUGGACUCGCGGCUUAUCAGCUUGUUGGUGGGGUAGUGGCUUACCAAGGCUUUGACGGGUAGCCGGCCUGAGAGGGUGACCGGCCACAUUGGGACUGAGAGACGGCCCAGACUCCUACGGGAGGCAGCAGUGGGGAAUAUUGCACAAUGGGCGGAAGCCUGAUGCAGCAACGCCGCAUGCGGGAUGACGGCCUUCGGGUUGUAAACCGCUUUCGCCUGUGACGAAGCGUGAGUGACGGUAAUGGGUAAAGAAGCACCGGCUAACUACGUG
Molecule: ribosomal RNA, 468 nt
Filed under: uncultured bacterium
Lineage: Bacteria
Description: partial 16S ribosomal RNA
Rfam family: Bacterial small subunit ribosomal RNA
Source: RNAcentral